UGAUCAAACAAUUUCCUAUUUAUUACAUUUGCAAAAGAAGAAAAAUAAUCAUGGUUUCAAGUUUCAAGCUCUUUUAUGCUUUGGUUAUUUAUAUUUCUCUAUUUAUGGUUUUAAUCAACCGUAGUAAGUUAUAUUCUUGUAUUAUUUUUAACUUUUUUUUAUACAUAAUGUUUACUUAUCUUUUAGUAAUUUAUUCAUUUUUUAAUAUCGCAGCUCCAUUCCCCUUAAAUCUACUUCGGUGCAUUAAAGAUGAUGAUUGUCCUUGGGAUAUGUGUCUUCACACUAUGUCAGAUCGGAUAUGUAUUAGUGAUGCUUGUUUUUGCGCAUGACUUUUAGAAAAACAAAUCUAUAUUACUCAUUAACAACGAAUAAUUUUACUUGUAAAUGAAGUUUCCAAAAUAAUAUUUAAAUUAUUUUUGGCUUCUCUAUUUUGAUAAAAGUGAAAUCAAUUGUUAAAGUUGUUAUAAAUAAUAUUCAAUUUGGAUAUGGUUGUCCAUUUUCUUAGUCUUUUAAUAUUCAUUAAUUUUUAUGAAUAAAUUAUAAUUAUAAGUAUUUAAUGAUAUGUAUCUUGACGUGAAAAAUACUCGAAACGUUCUCAGUUUUCAUAUGUAAUCAAGUUGCAAUCAAAGUUUAUUUUUAAAACAGAAAAUAUUGAUAAAAUCUUAAAUAAUAAAAAAUGGUCUUCGCAAUUAAAUUUAAGUUCGGUAGUUGAUUACGUGUAAAGAAGAUAUUAUCACCUUACGACAUCCGUUUAAGAAAACGGUUAUCUCUAAUUAAUUGUGCAAAAGAAAGUCUUUAACCUUUUUAUAUUCGAUUUCUCCUUAUUUUUAAACACGAAAUAUGACUUAUUUACAAGAAAGAGGAAACAAAUUUUUUUUAAUUAUUAUUAUGCUUGACAAGAUUUGGUUCUGCCUUCUAUGUAUCUCUCGGUGUGUUGGAGAAUUCAAAGCUAUAUAGUUAUUGGAUAGAAAAAUCUUGUGUGUUGAUCGUACUAAGGCAAAAGGAAAGUUAUUUUUUGGUCCUAAUUGCUUUUAGGAGAAAGACGAGUGUUCAAACUAAUAAGUCAUAUGACUUCUGUCCGCAUACUUCAGGAUAAAAAAUGUACAUCCAGAUAAUUCCUUUUUAAUCCAAUUUUGGUUUAUAAAGAAUGUGAAAUUCUAAACUAUCAAGUUGUACAACUUGCGCCUUGAAAAUUCAACGAUUAAAAUAGGUGUACAUCUAUUUAACCAUUUUUUUGUUUGUAUACUUUGAUGAUUAUUAAUUUAUUAAAAGACAAGACUUAGGACAACUAAGUUAUUUUCGGGAAGAAAGAUGAGAGUUAGAAUGAACAAGUCGUAUGACUUGUGUCCGAGCACUCUAGCAUAAAAGGAGAUACAUCCGACUAAUCCAUUUUAAUUUUGAGCGAAAAUGUGAUAUUCAAAACAAUCAAGUUAUACAACUUGUGUCUUGAAAGUUCGGCGGUUAAGAUAGAUGUGCAUAUAUUUAACCCUUUUCACACGAUUUGUUUGUUAAGGCAAGACUUAGAACAAUCAAGUUGUGUUUGAGAAGGAAGAAGGGCGUUCGAACAAGCAAGUCGUACGACUUGUGUCCGAACACUCGAGAAUUAAAGAGAUGUACAUUCAAUUAAUCUUUUUUUAAUCUAGUUUGAUUAUAAAAAGAGAGGUUAAAACAAUCGAGUCCUUAUCUUACAUAACUUAAUCAUAUUUUGAGUUUUGUAACUCUGAUUAAGGCGUGACCAACGGAAAAUGAAAGCUAACAAAAAGAGAUAUCUAGUUCCAAUAAUAAUAAAAAAUUAAAAAAAGAUAUGUUAAUUAUUACCACAGACAACACACAUACAACAAUAGCACACAUACAUCGUGACAUAUGUUCGGUAAUUUUAUCCUAUCUUGAGUUCCAUAACUUCGAUUGAGGUGAGACCAGAGGCAAAUGAAAGUAAACGAAAAAACCUAGCUAAUAUCAAGAUAAAAAAGAAACUGAAAAUUUAUGAAAUUAAUUUCCAUGGAUAGAACACAAUGAGUUUUAGGAGUAUUGAUCACUGUAUGCCAUUAAUUAUUAUCCCUAACAUGUAGCUAUGAAGUGUUUAAAAGAUAAACUCAAAGAAAUAACAUCUAUAACAAAAAUACAACAUAUUUAAGAGUAUAUAAAUAUAUAAGAACAAGAACUCAACAAUACGUAAAAGAAUAAAAUGCAAAAAAUGGAGAAAAAAAGCUACCAACAAUGAAGCUUUUGGAUAUAUAGGAUGUUGAUGUUAUUUACAAGGUCAAUCAAUGACUUCUUCGUCCAUCUCUCACAAUAAAAUAAACUCUUUUUAUCUCUCAAAUUUUUCAACACUUCUUUACUCUAAAAAAGCUUCCCCCUUUCUUACAAAAAUGACCAUUAUUUAUAGUAGAAUGCUAGAGUUUUGGGCGAGGAUAAUAACAAACUUUGUUAGGUUUUUGAGAUAAUGAUGGGAGGUGAAAAAUGCAGGUUGGGAGAGGGAAAAGGAUGUCAAAACUUGGUGGCUAAAUCAUCCAAAAUGCAUCAUGCAAGGCAACAAACAUAUCACUAAAAUGACAAGACAAAAAGGAGGGUAAAUUGAAAGUAAAAAAGGACAAACACCAAAGAUGAAGAUUCAUUGAUUAAUAUUAAAAAUUAACUUUUGUAAAUCUCUGAUUAGUCUUUGAUCAUGAUUCAAGAUUUUGUCAUUUAGCCUUUAUGUUUGAAUUUGAAUUUUUGAAUUUUGGCAAUUUGCUAGAAAACAUAAAAACCCUAAAUGCAUGAUAUUUUUUUUUUGGAUUUUCAUGAUGAAAUUAAAAACAACAGUAAAAUCGGUGAUAAAUGAACAACGAAAGACUAAAUUGAAAUAUUUUUGUAUUUUUAAAGUUAAUCGAUAAAUUUUAAAAAAUUAUGAAAAAUUACGAAAUCGAUUUUUAUUGUCCGGACAAAAUUGAGGUACUACAAUAUGAAUAUAAACUUGUGUCUUAUAAAUCGAAUUAUGUUGCAAUGUAAAACACACGUGUACAUAAUAAUAUCAUACUUUUUUCUCUUCUCUUUCUCUCUAUUAGAGGUAUCGUAACCAAAAGUAGUUAGACUAUUUUUAAAAAGCUUGUUAGCCAAGUUUGUUAGGUGGUUAGAUAGUUAGUUAGAGAAGUUAGGAGAUGUAUCUAACUUCCCUUAGCUCUAACUUGUAUAAAUACAAAUCAAUCACCACUCAUUAAUUUAAUGAGCUAAUUCUAUCAAUACAAGAAAAUCUUGUAUCAUCUUUUUCUUAUAUGCAUUCAGGUCAUUCAAUAUGGUACAAUCACUUAGAAGAGACUUCUUCCAUUAUCAUAUCCAUCCUCCUUGAUUGAUCUAGGUGAAGAUUGAAGCUUCAUAGAAGCAUAAUAUUGUGUUCAAUUGAAUUAUACAUCAAGCUUCAAAGAAGCUUCCAUAACAUAGGUUGAACGCUGCCCUUAAGAUUCACAAGAUAUGGUUUGUUCAUCACAAACUACCUCAACUCACCUCGCAUAUUCAACCUCAACAAACACGUUUGCAUAAAUUUUAUCAGUCAAACUUCUAUAAAGUAAUUUUUUUACUGUAAUCAGCAUGUAGAAAGAAUUACCUCCCUUAAAAACUCCACAAAGUGAUGGUAUGGUCAUCUCUCUCCCAUAAUAUAUCGUUUAAUCAAACUAGAUAAAUAAGUUAUUAUAUUUAUUAUAUUUAUUUUAUAUUCUUCUGCCAAGUUAAAUUAAUGUAUUAUUGCUUAAAGAAUUAUCUUUGUUAAUAUAAUUUAUUUUGAUUGUAAUUUUUCUUUAUCCCUCACAUCAAAUUAUAUAGUAUAUUAAAACUUUAAAUAAAUUUUUCAUAAGUGCUUUUAACUAUUCUAUCACUUACUCACAACAUAAAUUAUAUACAAUUAAGAUCCGCACAGUCUGCAGGGUUGGAGAUGAGUUAAUAAAAUAGUUAAAAAUUGUGUAAUUUAGACCAAAAAAAAAGAACAAAAAAGUGAACUUUUAAGUGACAAACGGACAGUGGCCAGAGCCACCGUCUUCUCGGACGAGCAUGGAGAUUCCGGCCAGAGUUGCAGGUCAUAAAAACUUGAUGAAAACGAGCGAUCCUCAUAUCAUUGGAAAGCUGGGGUGAUGUACAUCACCCCUGUGCCAUUAGUUUCUCUUCUAGAUUCUCAUAGUAAGAGAAAUCAGAAGGAGAAAAAUAUGGUGUUCAUGUUGAACUUCAUGGAUUUCAAAAAUUGAGCAUACAGAAAUGAUGCCUCUAUAGAGAGGACUUCCGACAACAUAAUAUCAAGGCCAAUAGAUCAAGGAAUAAGGAGUUUCGAAGAAAAAACCAGUUGAUGAACACCUUUGAAUUGUGAAGCUUUGAGUCACUUUCCUUGCUUCCUUUUGCCAAACAGAACUUCAAUGGACUAGAUGAUGAAGGUUUAGGAACUUUAAUGAUGAACACCUUUGAAUUGUGAAGCUUUGAGUCACUUUCCUUGCUUCCUUUUGCCAAACAGAACUUCAAUGGACUAGAUGAUGAAGGUUUAGGAACUUUAGAUCUGAAGAUUCAACCAAAUUCAAUAGAAUUUCAGAUUUGAAAUUUUGAAGAAAUGUGAACUUAGUUCCUUUGGUAUGGUUGGGAAUUGAUUUCUGCAGAGCUUUAGGCGCCUUUAGGUUGAAGAAUAAUGAAGCUGAGCUCAUGUAUUUAUAGCAAGGCAAGGUGGAAGCAUGGGAAAAUCAUGUGCAUGAGUGGAGAGGGCCUCCAUGCAUGGGCAUGUACAUGCGCAUGGAGGGCCCAAAUCCAAUGCCAAAUGCAAGCUGAAGUAUAAUUGAGCUGAAAUGGACAUGUACAUGCAAUUGGUUUGGAGUGUGCAUGAAGUUUGAAACAAGUUUCCAUAUUUGCACAUAAACCUUCUCCUCUUCGAAAAUGCCAAUUAGAAAAUCCAAACAUAAGCAUGUGUGUAAUGGUUGGAAAGGUCUUGACAUAAGGAACAAAUGUUAUGUUGAGCAAGAACUCAUUUGAAGUGUGGAAAUUUAUGAAAAUAGGCCAUGAAGUUCAUAGUGCAAAACAUGCCUUUGAGAAUUUUGCCAAAUUGAACCAACUUCAAGCCUUUCUGUUUUGAUGAUGAAAGCCUCAAAUGGAAACACCUCUAACAUAAAAGUUGUAGAUCUCUUCAAGACAAUCAAGAUGGACUUAAAUUUUGCAUCAUUUGGAUUUUUGAUGAAGAAGUUAUGGGCACUUGAAGUUGGACUUUUUUGCCUUUCAAUGCAUUUGGUCCAAAGUGACCUAUAAUGUUUUGCAUUAUCAAAGUUAUGGGCACUUGAAGUUGGACUUUUUUGCCUUUCAAUGCAUUUGGUCCAAAGUGACCUAUAAUGUUUUGCAUUAUCACAUGUAUUUCUUUUGAGAUUUUGAAAUUUUGUUCAACAUAACAUUUGAUGCAGACACAAUAAGAUUUCCAAUGCAUUUGAUCCCACAUCAAAAUAAUAAAAAAUGAAUGAGUUGUGUUCUUGGGAAGUUGACCCAAAAUUAGGGUUUCAGUCAAAAUGACCUAUAAUGUCUUGGAAUGGGAGAUGACCUUCCAAGCUUCAAGUAAAUUUUUGAUUAACAUGAAAGUUGUUAAUAUUGUCCUUAAGAACAUUUGUUCUCUUGGGAUCAUCUCCAUUUGACCAACACAUAAGAAGUUAGGUCUCAGUGCAUUUCAAAAUAGUCAGAUGAAUUGACUGAUCAACUUUCCAAGCCCACAACUCAUAUCUUGAUGAAUUGAUGAUUGAGGGCACUCAAAUAAGUUCAAAUAUGCAUGAAAUGAUGAAUUAAAGAACUUCCCUUGAUUGUAUUUGACCAUGGACUGAGGUUGCUUCAUGAGCAAGGCACACUUGGUACAUAGAUGAAUUAGGGUUUCCUUGGGAACAAACCUCAAACCCUUUUGACUUGCUUUGAUCAAAAUGAUGAAAUGAGAUACUAGGGAGGCAUAUUUGAUGGAUGAGAGCUUUGGGAACCAUUACCAUGCUUGCUUUCAUCUUUUCUUGGCCAUAUCUUUGCACAAAGGAUCUCCUAGAAGCUUUUGACCUUGUGAUUGCUCAAGCUACACACAAGAGAUGUUAGUGACAUAUUUUUGUGCUUUUGGUUAGUAAAUAAAAUGAGAAAAGAAAUAAUAUACAAUUCAAGCAUGCUUGGUGAUCUCAAACCAAUCACAAGAGAUCCCACCCAAAGGCAAAGGAAACCAAGAUGUUUAUGAUCCUUGAGGCUUUGCAAAUGCAAUAUUAUGAUACCAUGAGGGAUCUUAGGGCCAAAAUUGGGGUCCUACAGAUGCCCCUAUUUAAGGUCAUUCUAGCCGGAGAAGUGAAGGUUAAAAUCUUCGUCUCGACGAGGUAGAAUGGGCUUAAAUAAUAACAAAGAAACGAAUUUUGGUCCCUAAGAGACCUCAUAAAGCAGAUGUAUGUAUGCAACAGGUAACACUCUGUGGAGAUAUGUGUCCACAAAGAAAGAAAGAUAAAUCCGGAAUAACUGAGAAUCCACUGGAGUAACAUACUCGCAAAAGGGACAAAGACUCUAGGGAUUCUACUGGGGAGUAAAGAGAUAAAAAUGCGUGAGCAGGUCACGACUUGAAACUUGCUGAGAGACUCGAAGGAAAUCCAUGAAAUAAAUCACUGGAAGGACUCGAGCUGACUCAAAGAUGCAUGUAUUGGGGAAUAUGCCAAUACAACAAAAAUUAUCCGUAACAGAUACUUCGGAUAAGACUCCGGACUCAGGCUGGGAGAAUCCACUAAGGGACCUCGCUGGGGAAAAACCCCAAAUAAAACUCCUCUGGGGAAGCAACGGGAUGAGGUAUUACCGGUUACUGGGUAAUAAGCUCAAAGAGACAUGUGAUCCGAACACCGGUAUAAGGGUGAGAGAACAACAUGCUCGGAAAGAAUGAAUAUCUAAGACCGAUAUAAGGCUGAGAGAUAUCAAAAAUCCGAAAUCAUCUGAGGAAGACCUAAAGAGGUAUGCUUCGGCUCAGGAAAAUCUGACUCCGCAAGGGACAAAAUGUCAUAAUAGGGAGCAGAAGGGAAGGAACACCAGGGAUACCGGUUACUAGGCAUAUAAUAGGUGACCCACCAAAGCGUGACUCGGGGAGUAUUACCAAGACACUCAUCAUCCAAAAGAGGGCUAAAAGCAAACUCGAUUAUAGGAUGGACAUUCGAUUCCAACAGAAGGGAAUACGAAUCUUACUCAACUGGGGAAGCAAUAAACUUCAACUGAAGAGUGCAUGAGAUAUAUUAUCUAUUACCGUCAGAACGUAGACAAUAUACUCACAUGGACGAUUAUCCACAACCGGUUACUGGGUUAAUAAAGGAUAGAUCGACCGACCAGGAAAGACAUCGGGAUACCGAAUACUGGGUAUAUAAUGAUGACCAAUCAAAGGGAGAAACGAUCAUUACCAAUAAAGGGUGAAUGAGAGAUGACUCACUGGGAAAUAUAUUUAUAUUAGAAAUAUGUAUGAAAUUCACAAUUGAUUUUUAAUUUGUAUUUUAUAAGAUUGAGAAAAUUGUGUAAAAAGAAAAAAAUUAAUAACAUGUUUUAGAAUUAUGCUAUUUAGUUGUACCAAAAUUGUUUUAUUAGAAAACUUCAUACAAGGACCCAUAGUGCUUGCUAUCUUAGGGGGCCUUUAAUAAGCUUUAAGAGACUUAUAACAUGGCAGAAUCUUUAAUACUUUUUAAAAGUUUAUUAAAGACUAAAAAAGCACCUGUAAUUUUUUUUCUAAAAAUUCAAUUUAUAUAGAUUGGCUAUUAAAAUUGUCACCAACAUAUAUUAACAAAUUAAUCAAUAUUGAUGAUUCAAUUUUUUAUGUUACUUAUUAUAAUUUUAUUUAUAAAAGUUAGUUUUGUGAAUAUCAUUUCUAUUUUAGAAUUUUGUCCUUUAAUAUUAUGAAAUAAUAGUAAAAGUUAAAUAUAUACAGAAUACAAUAAAAGUUUAAUAAACAAUAAUGAACUUUGAUGUUGUUAAAUGAUCAACUAGUUUUAUUAAUUGGGUGACCUAAAGUGGUUAACCCAAGACAUUAGGUUUCAUAUGAAUGGUUUAUUGUUACUCCCAAGAGUUAAAAAUUAUUUGAUAAAAACAAAAGAAUAUCAGAAUUCUUACUAUAUAUAAUAAAAGAAAUUAUAUGGUUUCAAUUUGAUCAAACAAUUUCCUAUUUAUUACAUUUGCAAAAGAAGAAAAAUAAUUAUGGUUUCAAGUUUCAAGCUCUUUUAUGCUUUGGUUAUUUUUAUUUCUCUAUUUAUGGUUUUAACCAACAGUAGUAAGUUAUAUUCUUGUAUUAUUUUCAACUUUUUUAUAUACAUAAUGUUUACUUAUCUUUUAGUAAUUUAUUCAUUUUUUAAUAUCGCAGCUCGGUUCCCCUUAAAUCCACUUCGCUGCAUUGAAGAUGAUGAUUGUCCUUGGGAUAUGUGUCUUCACACUAAUUUAGAUCGGAUAUGUAUUAAUGAUGCUUGUUUUUGCGGAUGACUUUUAGAAAAAUAAAUCUAUAUUACUCAUUAACAACGAAUAAUGUUACUUGUAAAUGAAGUUUACAAAAUAAUAUUUAAAUAAUUUUUGGCUUCUCUAUUUUGAUAAAAGUGAAAUUAAUGGUUAAAGUUGUUAUGAAUAAUAUUCAAUUCGGAUGUGCUGGUCCAUUUUCAGGAUAAAAA
RNAcentral lists this long non-coding RNA (8621 nucleotides) under Lathyrus oleraceus (garden pea). RNAcentral describes it as "Pisum sativum (pea) long non-coding RNA (PSAT_LNC022265)". The record is from RNAcentral. Lineage: Eukaryota; Viridiplantae; Streptophyta; Magnoliopsida; Fabales; Fabaceae.